GUAGGGAAGGAUAUUAAGAUUUAAGAAUGAUAAAAAAGAUUUUUUUCUAAUAUCUAUGGUAGCUAUAAUCAUAUCACAAAAUUUAAAUAGAUUAAUUAAUAAGGUUCACGUGGCCUGCUUGACGACCGUCAACGAUGGGAACAUAGCAAAUUGGUCCAUAAACAUUGUCUGAACAAGUGCUGUGAUAACCUUUAUGAUCAAAUCUGAACGAUUGUUGACCUCCGAUUCCGUCCUACUACAAGUGCUGUAAUAACCUUUAUGGAUCAAGUUUGAACGAUUGUCGACCACCGAAUUUACUGAUCUGCAAUAUUCAUCUUGACCCACAAGCACAAAUACUGAGCGCGAUAUAUAAUUACACACGCAAGUGCACCACAAGCACAAAUCCUCCUUCUUCCUCUUUUUCUUGGGAGACAUGAUGCAUGACUAAUCGAUGCAUGCCAGUUCAUGCUAAAUAAAUUUGUAGUACAUGUACCACAAU
Molecule: long non-coding RNA, 478 nt
Filed under: Capsicum annuum
Lineage: Eukaryota; Viridiplantae; Streptophyta; Magnoliopsida; Solanales; Solanaceae
Description: long non-coding RNA (CANN_LNC001863)
Source: RNAcentral